GCGGUGAUCGUUUGUUUCAAAGCAAUCCUUUGAAAGGAUUGAAUUCCAGUAGCCGAAAAAAUAUCGGAAGCAGCAGCCAUAGCAGCAGCAGAUCACAAUUUAAGCAAAUUUCGCCACGGAACACCAACUGACGCCUACCGGAACGGCAAUGAAAAGAAGUUGGCGCUUGUGGCAAUUUCUUGCUUGCCUACCGCGAGUAUGUGUGCUGCUGGACCCAAGGAACAACCACAAUUGGAUCUGACCGAGCUUGGACAUCGGACACAGUAAGAAGCAUCACGGAGAAGUUGCAGCGAAUGCUCGGCGCGUUACCAGUGAGCUAGGCAAGCGGCAUAUACGAUGACUCAUUUGGCGUGGAGGAAGCAUUCGGUUGGUCAAAUGGAGGGUAGUUGAGGCGUUGUGCGACACAAGUUCGGAAUAUCCACUGAACAGACGGUGGUCAAGUUUUCCCGACAACUGGUGAGGAAAGUGAUGGAUAAAACCAAACUGAGCGAAAUCUCGUGGCGCAACACAUGGAGGUAGUAUACUAGGUAGUAUAGCACCCGUUUGUGGCUCGACUGUGUGAGGUAGGUCAUCUACUCCAAAACCAAACUGCCGGAGAUUUGUGGGUAGAGGAUAUUUGUAGGAUUAUACUCGGGAUUAUAUCAUUCGCCACGAAAGGAGCCUGAUGGAGAACAUUGGGAUUGGGAUAUGAUCCGCCAGAUUGUGUAAGUUAUUUUUUAUUGCCAUCAUUUGCAUGCAGAGCACAGCAAAAUUCCGAAUCGGAAAAAAGACGAAAAAAAACCGAAUUAGCUUUGCCGUCUUUCAAUCAAGUGGACAUUUCGACAUUUUUGAGAUGUGGAAUCUUGUGUCGUCCUCCCGCACAAAGCCCGGAACCUCACCCCGUUGUUCAUACAUACUAUUCGAACCAAUCAUCCGCAAUGUCCCGUUGUUCUAGCUGGGAUUCAGUGUAUAAUGAUCAGCCAAAUAUGGCUCGGAUGUCGUUGAAACAUACUCCGACCUUAACAACUUUUGAGCCGUCGUGAAAAUAUCUCAUUUGAAAAAGAUCAGCGAUCAUCCAUGAAUAACGUAGUAUUUUAGGGGAUGAGGAAGUCUGCGAAUCUGAGACUGACCGCGUGUAUCGCCUAACUGACUGACCUGAGACUUAUCGAUUAUCUAUAUAAGGUACAUCGGGGCAAGUUGAAACGGGUGGGGCAAGAUGAAACAGCGGGUUGACGUGACGUGAUCUAAUGAUGACAAACAAUUUGAUUGCCAUAACAUAUAGUUUUUGAUUCAAACAAACUUUUAGCGAAGAAUAAGUAUCCAAAUUGUAUUUUUCAAAACUUCGCGUUUCAUCUUGCCCCACCCGUUUCAACUUGCCCCGGUGUACCUUAUAUAUAAAUGAAUUACUGGCUGCACAGGGGUUUUGUGGAACGGCAAAGGUUCUUAGCAUGGAGACCUCUCCCCACUCUGGAAAGAGGGGCUCCCAGACAGAUGACUUUAUGGGGCACUUCCCUGUGAGUAUAUAAAAAACAUUAGGCAGGCAGUACGAGGUUUGCCAGGACAGCUAGUUUGAUAUAGAAUAAUACUUUGUGUGGAGAGUCAAAAAUGGAUUACCUGCACGGAGCACGAUCAGCAGGGGAAUAAUAAUUUUAGGGGCCGUCCAUAUACUACGUGGACAGAAAAUUCAUGGUUUUUGACCCCCACCCCCCUCCCCGUGGACAAGCGUGGACUUUUCAUUGACCCCUACCCCCCUCCCCCAAUGUCCACGUGGACAUCCGAGAAAAAAAUAUUUUUAUGUAUAUUUCUAAAAAAAAUGGAAAAAGUGAUUUUGAAAAGUUUUUUUUAAAUGUUGUUUUUUUUUAUUCGUAAACAAUGUCUUAAAUAUAAUUGAAAACUUUAUAAAAUACAAAUAUUCUAUAGCUUUACAUAGAAUACAAACAAGUAGCACAAAAUAGGUACCUACAAGUUUUCAACAUUGUUUUAAAUUCAGCUUAAUGUUUGUAAGAGUGUGGGUUCGAUUCUUGCACCAGUUGGUGAAAAAUGUUCGUCAAACGUAAAAUUCUUCAUUGGGUGUUUUUCCAUGUCCAUCGCCUAAUGUUAGUGAUUGUUAAAUUUUUGGUCUGUACAGCCUCUGGUUGAAGACGGUGUUUUUUUUUGAAUGUUUGUUCAAUCUAUGAUUGUCUUGUUGAAAUAAGGUUAUUUUAAAUGUUAGAUUUUUGUUGAGAUAUGAUUAUAUUUCUUAGAUUCCUACAAAAAAAACAAGAUUUACAGCAACUAAAUUAUAUUGCUGAGGUUUAGACUUUAAUAUCCAUUAGAAUCAUCUUAAAUUUUAAAGGAACUUACAAAAAAAAAGUUUUUGAGAUAAGCAUGCAUAUCCCUACAUGGAUUUUGAAACUUUGAAGUAGUAUAAAAAUUUGAUAUGAAACUCUGAAAAAUCCAUACAGAACUUCAAUGAAAAUUUUCUGACUGAAACACCAACAUUUGCAUGGUCUACACUCCAUUUUAAAUCUCCAGAAUAUUCCUCGAUGAAGAAAACUAAGUAAUUAGAAAUUCUGAUAAUUUAAAAUAAAUUAGUAUGUGAACCAAGGUUUUUUUUUUCCUUGAAGAAGUAACUUACAACUAAAAGACAAUGUAUAAUAAAAUAAAAUGUAUGAAAGAACUGUUGAAGAGAAUCUCAUCAGUAAUGCGACAUAAUUUGUUUCGUUUGUAGAUUCUUGUUUCCUAAUUUUUGUGUCAACGUUGUCCACGUGGACAUUUGACGAACCCCCACCCCCCUCUCCAUGGACAAGCAUGGAAUUUUUGCUAACCCCCUCCCCCCUCCAAGCUGUCCACGUGGUAUAUGGACGGCCCCUUAUUUGUUACGGCUAAAAGCAUCUAAACUCGAAUUUCUUCUUCUUUUUUCUGGCCAACUAGCACCGUUCGGCUCCAGUUGUGUUUUACGUCGGCUGAGUCUAGGAGCUAAGCAUUAAAUUCCGACGCCCCAAGGAGACAGCUACCACACCUGAGGACCCUACAUAUCGAACCCAUCAACACAUGGGCCGAGACCUACGGCUUUAAUUCCUAUCCGAGGGAAGACGUGAUCACGGAUUUCAUUGAACCCCGAUCGACUGGGGUGAGAGGCAACCACGCUUAGCACUACACCACCGACGCCGACAAAUUUCUUGAAAUGAAAAUCGUUUGCCGAAAAAAAAGUAUAGGCACCAAAGCAGUCAUCAUUGUGUACAACCGCUUCCAAUUUUUUUUUGGUUUUUUGAAUAAUGUAUUCUCCUCCGAGAAAUUUGCCGUAAAAUGCUAUUCGUCAUACAAUAUUUUUAGGGUUUAUUUUUAGUAUUUUUUCGUACAUAGAAGCUAGCGGCACAUUGAUCGAUGCAAAGAGUAGGAAAAUAGCAAAGCAUUUAUUUCAUUGGUCAAGAAUUGUCUAUAACUUCAUGGCUUUGUAUGUAGAACCGCAGACAUGACCGCAGAGUUAAACGAUAUUGAACAAAUGGGCAUAUUACAAUCUUUUUUAACAUUUGGACACUGAUAGGUCUUAAAAAUAUAAGUUUUCUUUUAAGCCUUUUCAACGCUUCGAACGAUCUUCAAGUAUAGGUUCAUUGUAGUAUAUCGAUCAUUUUAAGUGCUACAAUAAUGGUUAAGCACGCUGUAAUGUUACUUUUGUACCUCAUCACCCACUAAAUGCAACUACAUUAGUGGUCUAAUAACACUUAGCGCGCUUAGGCACGGUUCCAUCAUGCCGCUUAUAGUGUUGCCACAUAUAAUGCUUAGUCUGCUAAACCCAGUUAUCUGGCUGUGGGGCAUGGGAGCCAAAGCUUCAACCAUCAAUGCAAUUAAACAUUACUCGAUUUACUACAUGAGUGAUCCAAAUAUUUGAUAAUUGUUCGAUCUGUUUUUGAAAUGUAGCUUAAAAUAUACAAGCUUCUAGUCCAAACGCAUAAUAAUAGUUCAGUUUCGCUUCAUUCAGGAUUUGCUCAAGCAGUUUAUAUUUUUUGUAAAGUUAAACAUAGAGGUUGAAGUUAGAAUUUUUUGUUUCACAAUAGAAAACAAUUUCCAAACCAUUCGAUUUAAUGUAAAAAUAGUGUAAAACAAUAUGUUCUGCAUCACAAUAGACAGCAAUUCCAAAACAAUUGAAUCUAACGUGGAGCCAGUAAUAAAGUCACUGCUCAAAGCAAAACGUUUACCGUACAUUUCACUGUUUAGAACAAUUUAAAAACAUAAAAAUCUUCUGUAUCACAAUAGAAAACAAUUCCCACACCAUUGAAUCAGUUGUGGAACCAGUAGUAAAAUCACUAUUCAGAACAAUACGUUUACCGUUCGAUUCAUUGUUUGAAACAAUUCGAAAACAUAAGAAUCUUCUGUAUCACAAUAGAAAACAAUACCCAAACAAUUGAAUUCAAUGUAAAAACAGUACAAACUGUAUGUUCUGCUUCACAAUAGAAAACAACUUCAAAACAAUUGAAUCAAAUGUGGAACCAGAAAUAAAAUCACUACCCAAAACAAUA
This is a long non-coding RNA of Aedes albopictus (Asian tiger mosquito), 4478 nucleotides long. RefSeq lists it as uncharacterized. The record is from RefSeq and is a predicted model, not a curated record. NCBI's taxonomy places the organism in Eukaryota, Metazoa, Arthropoda, Insecta, Diptera, Culicidae. The transcript is spliced from 2 exons.